This 327-nucleotide ribosomal RNA is filed under the name uncultured eukaryote. RNAcentral's name for it is "partial 18S ribosomal RNA". It matches the Rfam family "Eukaryotic small subunit ribosomal RNA", at positions 1470 to 1796 of the family's 1831-position model. The record is from RNAcentral.
CUCUUAGAUGUUCUGGGCCGCACACGCGCUACACUGAAGGAGGCAGCGUGUACUCCUGGAUCGAAAGAUUUGGGUAACCCGCGAAUCUCCUUCGUGCUAGGGAUUGAGGUUUGCAAUUAUCCUUCAUGAACGAGGAAUUCCCAGUAAGUGCAAGUCAUAAGCUUGCGCUGACUACGUCCCUGCCCUUUGUACACACCGCCCGUCGCUACUACCGAUUGAAUGAUUUAGUGAGGACUUCGGACUGGGACCGAUGCGGCUUUCGGGCUGCGUCGGUAUUCUGGAAAGAUGUCCAAACUGUAUCAUUUAGAGGAAGUAAAAGUCGUAACA